This 449-nucleotide ribosomal RNA is filed under the name uncultured bacterium. RNAcentral's name for it is "bacterial SSU rRNA". It matches the Rfam family "Bacterial small subunit ribosomal RNA", at positions 335 to 799 of the family's 1533-position model. The record is from RNAcentral.
ACUCCUACGGGAGGCAGCAGUGGGGAAUCUUGGACAAUGGGGGCAACCCUGAUCCAGCCAUGCCGCGUGAGUGAUGAAGGCCUUAGGGUCGUAAAGCUCUUUCGCCUGUGAAGAUAAUGACGGUAGCAGGUAAAGAAACCCCGGCUAACUCCGUGCCAGCAGCCGCGGUAAUACGGAGGGGGUUAGCGUUGUUCGGAAUUACUGGGGCGUAAAGCGCACGUAGGCGGAUCGGAAAGUUGGGGGUGAAAUCCCGGGGCUCAACCCCGGAACUGCCUCCAAAACUAUCGGUCUAGAGUUCGAGAGAGGUGAGUGGAAUUCCGAGUGUAGAGGUGAAAUUCGUAGAUAUUCGGAGGAACACCAGUGGCGAAGGCGGCUCACUGGCUCGAUACUGACGCUGAGGUGCGAAAGUGUGGGGAGCAAACAGGAUUAGAUACCCUGGUAGGACAGUG